UAGGGAAUCUUCCACAAUGGACGCAAGUCUGAUGGAGCAACGCCGCGUGAGUGAAGAAGGUUUUCGGAUCGUAAAGCUCUGUUGUUGGUGAAGAAGGAUAGAGGUAGUAACUGGCCUUUAUUUGACGGUAAUCAACCAGAAAGUCACGGCUAACUACGUGCCAGCAGCCGCGGUAAUACGUAGGUGGCAAGCGUUGUCCGGAUUUAUUGGGCGUAAAGCGAGCGCAGGCGGAAGAAUAAGUCUGAUGUGAAAGCCCUCGGCUUAACCGAGGAAUUGCAUCGGAAACUGUUUUCUUGAGUGCAGAAGAGGAGAGUGGAACUCCAUGUGUAGCGGUGGAAUGCGUAGAUAUAUGGAAGAACACCAGUGGCGAAGGCGGCUCUCUGGUCUGCAACUGACGCUGAGGCUCGAAAGCAUGGGUAGCGAACAGGAUUAGAUACCCUGGUAGUCCAUGCCGUAAACGAUGAGUGCUAAGUGUUGGGAGGUUUCCGCCUCUCAGUGCUGCAGCUAACGCAUUAAGCACUCCGCCUGGGGGAGUACGACCGCAAGGUUGA
This 551-nucleotide ribosomal RNA is filed under the name uncultured bacterium. Its description in RNAcentral is "partial 16S ribosomal RNA". It matches the Rfam family "Bacterial small subunit ribosomal RNA", at positions 355 to 897 of the family's 1533-position model. The record is from RNAcentral.